RNAcentral lists this transfer RNA (75 nucleotides) under Candidatus Staskawiczbacteria bacterium RIFCSPLOWO2_12_FULL_37_15. RNAcentral's name for it is "tRNA-Asn". It matches the Rfam family "tRNA". From Rfam's summary of the family: Transfer RNA (tRNA) molecules are approximately 80 nucleotides in length. Their secondary structure includes four short double-helical elements and three loops (D, anti-codon, and T loops). Lineage: Bacteria; Candidatus Staskawicziibacteriota. The record is from RNAcentral.
UCCGCAGUAGCUCAGCGGUAGAGCGAUUCCCUGUUAAGGAAUGGGUCGUAGGUUCGAAUCCUACCUGCGGAGCCA